Molecule: transfer RNA, 70 nt
Filed under: Polycheles baccatus
Lineage: Eukaryota; Metazoa; Arthropoda; Malacostraca; Decapoda; Polychelidae
Also listed under: 1 other name
Description: tRNA-Trp
Rfam family: tRNA
About the family: Transfer RNA (tRNA) molecules are approximately 80 nucleotides in length.
Source: RNAcentral
AAGAUUUUAUGUUAUUCAAAACUCUCAUCCUUCAAAGUUGAAAAAAAAAGUUAAAUUCUUUUAAAUCUUA